GUGAGGAAUUUUCCGCAAUGGGCGAAAGCCUGACGGAGCAAUGCCGCGUGAAGGAUGAAGGCCUAUGGGUUGUAAACUUCUUUUCUCAGAAAAGAAUUAUGACGGUAUCUGAGGAAUAAGCAUCGGCUAACUCUGUGCCAGCAGCCGCGGUAAGACAGAGGAUGCAAGCGUUAUCCGGAAUGAUUGGGCGUAAAGCGCCUGUAGGUUGUUUAAAAAGUAUUCUGUCAAAGAUUAGGGCUUAACCCUAGAUAGGCAGAAUAAACUUUUAAGCUAGAGUUUGGUAGAGGCAGAGGGAAAGCCCGGUGGAGCGGUGAAAUGCGUAGAUAUCGGGAGGAACACCAAAGGCGAAGGCACUCUGCUGGGCCAAUACUAACACUGAGAGACGAAAGCGAGGGGAGCAAAUGGGAUUAGAAACCCCAGUAGUCC
This 426-nucleotide ribosomal RNA is filed under the name uncultured bacterium. RNAcentral describes it as "bacterial SSU rRNA". It matches the Rfam family "Bacterial small subunit ribosomal RNA", at positions 354 to 796 of the family's 1533-position model. The record is from RNAcentral.